RNA transcript from Solanum dulcamara, 1939 nucleotides. RefSeq lists it as uncharacterized. Lineage: Eukaryota; Viridiplantae; Streptophyta; Magnoliopsida; Solanales; Solanaceae. The record is from RefSeq and is a predicted model, not a curated record. The transcript is spliced from 2 exons.
AUACAAAGUGUAAGUCAUUUCUUGAAUUCAUAGAUUUCUCCUCUUCUCUGUGGAUUGCGUUAUGAAAGUGACAACUCCAUUAAUUCUGAAAUGGGGUUAUGUUUUUACGAAUUGUAAACCCAUUUUUGGGGUUAGGUUUUAUGCAACUAAAAAGAUUGGUAAAUUGAAAGAAGAAGAAUGUCAUAUACCUCGUGCAGUGAGGAAAGAAGCUCAAGCUGCUUUGCUAGACUACUUGCAUUCCACUAGAAGUUUGCAGUUUAUGGAUGCUGAACAUAUGAGUAAAAACUCACCCUUUUUUCUUUCCAAAUUAUUACAAAGAAUUGAUAAUGAAACUGAUAUUCGACGUUCUCUAACUCGAUUCUUGCGAUAUCAUCCAAUCAAUGAAUUCGAACCAUUCUUUGAGAGCAUUGGUCUGAAACAUUGUCACUACUUGUCAUUUCUUCCCAGAGAUCUCAUGUUUUUAAAUGAUGAUCAAAGGUUGCUCCAUACCUAUCACAUCUUGUGUAAUUAUGGUAUUUCAAGAAAUAAGAUAGGAAGAAUCUUUGCUGAAGCUCCAGAAGUUUUUAGAUAUGAUCCUGGAGUUUUGGACUUGAAACUUGCUUCUUUUCACGGGGCUGGGCUAGAUCAGUCUACUGUCAUUAAGCUUGUUAGUGCAAGUCCUCAUCUUUUGAUUGGGAAUGUACACAAGGAAUUUUUUCAAGUUGUUGAGGAAUUAAAGAAAAUAGGAGUUGAAUACAGUUGGAUUGAGGAGCAAUUGAAUGGAAAUUCUAUCAAUUGGAGCCAGUUAUUCGAGCUCAUAUGCUUCUUGAAAGGCUUGGGCUUCACUGAUCAACAAUUAGGAAAAUUGAUUUGUCGAGUUCCUGGUCUUCUCCUUGAUUGCUCCGGACGCACUACAUUUUUGCUAAUUGGAUUCUGGUUGAAAUUUGGUUUUGAGAAGCCUGAAUUACUUGAUGUAUUUCUACGCUUACCACAAAUUCCAAUAACCACAUUUGUUUUCAAUAUGAGGCAAUGCUAUCAGUUCUUGAUUGAGAUCGAGAUGCCUGUCCUAGACAUUGGAAAUAUCGUUCGUUCAUACCCUACAUUGCUAGGCUCAUGUGUUUUGAAGAAAGCUACAAGCUUGCUAACUAUCCUGAAUACGGGGAAGAAGCGGCUUUGUAGUGUGAUCAAGGAGAAUCCAGAAUUUUUGAGGAAUUUGGUUCGUGGAGCCAAAGUUGAACAGUUACCAAUAGAUGAGGAGGAGCUAAGAUCCAAAAUGAUGAAAACUAAGUUCCUUUUGGAUUUGGGUUUUGCUGAGAACUCGAGCGAAAUGGAGAAAGCUCUCAAAGUAUUUAGAGGAAAAGGGGUGGAGCUCCAAGAGAGGUUUGAUUGUUUGGUAAAUGCUGGUUUGGAUCGAAAGCAUGUUGCUUCAAUGCUGAAAAUAUAUCCGCAAGUACUCAAUCAAAGGAAAGAAGUACUUGAGACAAAGAUUGAUUUUCUAUUGAAUAUAUUGGGUCAUCCAGUGUCUACUCUAAUUUCGUUUCCAUCUUACCUAAACUACACAAUUCAAAGAAUCAUGCUUAGGAUUUCAAUGUAUAAUUGGCUCAAAGAUCAAGGAAAAGUGGAUGCAACAUUGGCUUUGAGCACUAUCUUAGCUUCCUCAGAGAAAUUAUUCAUGAAGACUUAUGUAAGUCCUCACCCUAAAGGCCUUGAAGUCUGGCAAGAUCUGAAAAGAGAGAUAUAUCCUGAUUAAGUGAGAUAUCCUGAGUCGUUCCGUCUGGUUGCAUUGGCAACGGAAAGUCUAAAGCUUGAAGUCUCUUUAAAGCGCAGUCUCCUGCUUAAGUUAAGAUGAGUACCAGUUCUAAAUGUGUUAACUUUGAGUGAAACGAAAAGGAGCAGGCACCCAGAAAACUGCACCAUGGCUAUCAGUGCCACAAUUUGGAGACUGGGACCAAAAAGGUGU